This 565-nucleotide ribosomal RNA is filed under the name uncultured bacterium. RNAcentral's name for it is "partial 16S ribosomal RNA". It matches the Rfam family "Bacterial small subunit ribosomal RNA", at positions 355 to 914 of the family's 1533-position model. The record is from RNAcentral.
UGGGGAAUUUUGGACAAUGGGCGAAAGCCUGAUCCAGCAAUGCCGCGUGUGUGAAGAAGGCCUUCGGGUUGUAAAGCACUUUUGUCCGGAAAGAAAUCCUUGGCUCUAAUACAGUCGGGGGAUGACGGUACCGGAAGAAUAAGCACCGGCUAACUACGUGCCAGCAGCCGCGGUAAUACGUAGGGUGCAAGCGUUAAUCGGAAUUACUGGGCGUAAGCGUGCGCAGGCGGUUUGCUAAGACCGAUGUGAAAUCCCCGGGCUCAACCUGGGAACUGCAUUGGUGACUGGCAGGCUAGAGUAUGGCAGAGGGGGGUAGAAUUCCACGUGUAGCAGUGAAAUGCGUAGAGAUGUGGAGGAAUACCGAUGGCGAAGGCAGCCCCCUGGGCCAAUACUGACGCUCAUGCACGAAAGCGUGGGGAGCAAACAGGAUUAGAUACCCUGGUAGUCCACGCCCUAAACGAUGUCAACUAGUUGUUGGGGAUUCAUUUCCUUAGUAACGUAGCUAACGCGUGAAGUUGACCGCCUGGGGAGUACGGUCGCAAGAUUAAAACUUAAAGGAAUUGAC